AGAGCUACAGCGGUCUCCGGGUGGCGAAGUGCGGAGACGGGGUUUUGGAGACGGUGGAUGGAGGAGGGGGAGGGAAAGCUGCCAACUUUGGAUACCAACCCCGUACACCCACCGAAGGGGAUGUCCCACUUUUUCCAGCGCUGGGAGCAAAAAGAUAACAGUGAGCGAGGUUGAAAACACCUGACAGUGAAAAGAGCAAUUUGAAGAAAAACAAAAUUUAUCUUCAAUGUGAAAAGCAAUUUAUAAAAAUCCGAAUACUUGCCAGGAGCAACUUGACAAAAAAGACAAAGGUGGUAGAAGAAAUGUAACCAGCCCACAAUUCCAAUGUUGAUAACAGAUGAGCUCCCUUUCAAGGUGACUGACAUUUACACAAGUACACAGAGCAAGAAGAAGGUCUGAGUGAACUGCCAAGCAUUUUAACUUCUCCUGAGACCAAGUACAUCAACAGUUCUCUUGGAAAAGAACAACUGAUUUGGGAGUCUAGCAGACUGCCAGCUGCAAGACAUUCAUCCAGCAUCAGGAACACAAUGGGCCUUCAUUUGCCUGCCUUUCUGAGGGCACCAAUCAAAAGUAACAGCUGCCACCUUUUUCUAUGAGACUUGAUUAUAAUUUUCUAUGGCCAAGGGUUUGCUGUGACACUUCCACAUCAUUCUUCAGUAUGUAGUCCAGAGAUUAGCUACAGAUUCAAGAAACACAGACUGUAAACUAUUAUAUACAGACAUAUCUCAAAAUAAGCAUACCCAUUAGUGCCAGCUGCCCUGAAAGACUGAAUGACCCCAGCUAUUUUCCAAAUGUUUUUUCAGAAAGCCAUGAACACACCUUUCUGGGAUCCUAUCUAUUUCAAAGACAGGCAAAGCUCUGUGGUUCAGUUCCACCACCCAGUACCAAGCCCACAGUAUGCAGACCAUACGCCUUACACAUGGCCUUUUCUCUUUAUGUAAUUGCUGUACCAUAUUCAGCAGAUCUAGACUGACUCAAAGCAUGUUCCCUCAAGAAGCUCCACAGAAAAAAAGGUUUCUGUGAUCAAAAAUCAUUUGGGAAAUGCUGCAAACCCUAUCUGCCUCUUAGAGCUUAACCAUGCAUGUCGGGGCAUAAUAUAAACCUUUUCCAGUCUGGGCCACAGAGUGAGACCCCACCUCUAAAAUAAUAAAUCAAUAAACUCUUGAGAAGUACACAGAAAAGAAACUUCUGUAACUUUUUAGGUCUUAAUUACAAGCAAUUGUAGCUUAAUCUAAACUUGCUCUUCACUUUAUUUCUAUGCUCUUGAAAACUAGUGACAUAAGCCUUAUGAAUUUUUUGUUUGUUUGUUUCUUCUUUUUUUAAGAGAGAGACAGGGUCUCAUUCUGUUGCUCAGGUUGGAGUGCAGAGGCACAAUCAUAGCUCACCGUAACCUUGAAUUCCUAGUCUCAAGUAAUCCUCCCAUCUCAGCCUCCCUAAUAACUAGGACUACAGGCACAUACCACCACAUCUGGCUAGUGUGUGUGUGUGUGUGUGUGUGUGUGUGUGUGUAAAGACAGGGGUCUCAUUAUGUUCCCCAGGCUGGUCUUGAACUCCUGGGCUUAAGCGAUCCUCCCACCGCAGCCUCCCAAAACUUUGGGAUUACAGGCAUGAGCCACUACACCUGGCUGGAUUAUUCUUUCUUUAAAAAAAUUUUUUUGGCCGGGCGCCGUGACUGUAAUCCCGGCACUUUGAGGGGCCGAGGCGGGCGAAUCACGAGGUCAGGAGAUAGAGACCAUCCUGGCUAACACGGUGAAACCCCGUCUCUACUAAAAAAAAAUAC
Molecule: long non-coding RNA, 1780 nt
Filed under: Homo sapiens (human)
Lineage: Eukaryota; Metazoa; Chordata; Mammalia; Primates; Hominidae
Description: non-protein coding lnc-ESRP1-2:5
Source: RNAcentral